This 305-nucleotide ribosomal RNA is filed under the name uncultured bacterium. Its description in RNAcentral is "bacterial SSU rRNA". It matches the Rfam family "Bacterial small subunit ribosomal RNA", at positions 338 to 661 of the family's 1533-position model. The record is from RNAcentral.
CCUACGGGGGGCAGCAGUGGGGGAUAUUGCACAAUGGAGGAAACUCUGAUGCAGCGACGCCGCGUGAGGGAAGACGGUCUUCGGAUUGUAAACCUCUGUCUUUGGGGAAGAAAAUGACGGUACCCAAAGAGGAAGCUCCGGCUAACUACGUGCCAGCAGCCGCGGUAAUACGUAGGGAGCGAGCGUUGUCCGGAAUUACUGGGUGUAAAGGGAGCGUAGGCGGGCGAGAAAGUUGAAUGUUAAAUCUACCGGCUUAACUGGUAGCUGCGUUCAAAACUUCUUGUCUUGAGUGAAGUAGAGGCAGG